Molecule: ribosomal RNA, 36 nt
Filed under: Aristerostoma sp. ATCC 50986
Lineage: Eukaryota; Ciliophora; Colpodea; Cyrtolophosidida; Cyrtolophosididae
Description: partial 5.8S ribosomal RNA
Source: RNAcentral
AUUUUCAACGACGGAUGUCUUGGUUCCCAUACCGAU